This 21-nucleotide microRNA is filed under the name Culex quinquefasciatus (southern house mosquito). RNAcentral's name for it is "cqu-miR-100-3p". Its record names the gene cqu-miR-100-3p. The record is from miRBase by way of RNAcentral. Lineage: Eukaryota; Metazoa; Arthropoda; Insecta; Diptera; Culicidae.
CAAGGCCGGAUAUAUGGGAUC